RNAcentral lists this ribosomal RNA (794 nucleotides) under uncultured archaeon. Its description in RNAcentral is "bacterial SSU rRNA". It matches the Rfam family "Archaeal small subunit ribosomal RNA", at positions 85 to 879 of the family's 1478-position model. The record is from RNAcentral.
ACGGCUCAGUAACACGUGGAUAACCUGCCCUUAGGUUCGGCAUAACUCCGGGAAACUGGAGAUAAUUCCGAAUAGGUCAAAUAUGCUGGAAUGCUUUUUGGCCAAAAGACUUCGGUUGCCUAAGGAUGGAUCUGCGGUCUAUCAGGUUGUAGUGGGUGUAACGUACCUACUAGCCUACGACGGAUAUGGGUUGUGAGAGCAAGAGCCCAGAGAUGGAUUCUGAGACAUGAAUCCAGGCCCUACGGAGCGCAGCAGGCGCGAAAACUUUACAAUGCGGGAAACCGCGAUAAGGGGACACCGAGUGCCAGCAUUUAUGUUGGCUGUCCACAUGUGUAAACGGCAUGUGUUAGCAAGGGCCGGGCAAGACCGGUGCCAGCCGCCGCGGUAACACCGGCGGCCCGAGUGGUAAUCACUUUUAUUGGGUCUAAAGGGUCCGUAGCCGGUUUGAUCAGUUCUUCGGGAAAUCUGACAGCUCAACUGUUAGGCUUCCGGGGAAUACUGUCAGACUUGGGACUGGGAGAGGUAAGAGGUACUACAGGGGUAGGAGUGAAAUCUUGUAAUCCCUGUGGGACCACCAGUGGCGAAGGCGUCUUACCAGAACAGGUCCGACGGUGAGGGACGAAAGCUGGGGGCACGAACCGGAUUAGAUACCCGGGUAGUCCCAGCCGUAAACGAUGUUCGCUAAGUGUCAGGGGCGGUGCGACCGCUUCUGGUGCCGUAGGGAAGCCGUGAAGCGAACCACCUGGGAAGUACGGCCGCAAGGCUGAAACUUAAAGGAAUUGGCGGGAAAGCAC